CCUACGGGAGGCAGCAGUAGGGAAUAUUGCUCAAUGGGCGAGACCCUGAAGCAGCAACGCCGCGUGAAGGAUGAGUGUUUUAGGGUUGUAAAAUCUUUUUGUUAGAGGAAAUUAUGACGGUAUCUAACGAAUAAGCACCGGCUAACUCCGUGCCAGCAGCCGCGGUAAUACGGAGGCUGCAAGCGUUAUUCGGAAUCACUGGGCGUAAAGAGUGCGUAGGCGGGUUAAUAAGUCAGAUGUGAAAUCUUGCAGCUUAACUAUAGAACUGCAUUUGAAACUGUCAGUCUGGAGUAUGGUAGAGGUAGGUGGAAUUCGUGGUGUAGCGGUAAAAUGCGUAGAGAUCAAGAGGAAUACUGAUUGCGAAGGCGACUUACUGGACCGUCACUGACGCUGAUGCACGAAAGUGUGGGGAGCAAACAGGAUUAGAUACCCGAGUAGUC
Molecule: ribosomal RNA, 440 nt
Filed under: uncultured bacterium
Lineage: Bacteria
Description: partial 16S ribosomal RNA
Rfam family: Bacterial small subunit ribosomal RNA
Source: RNAcentral